Long non-coding RNA from Neoarius graeffei (lesser salmon catfish), 2007 nucleotides. RefSeq lists it as uncharacterized. The record is from RefSeq and is a predicted model, not a curated record. The transcript is spliced from 3 exons. NCBI's taxonomy places the organism in Eukaryota, Metazoa, Chordata, Actinopteri, Siluriformes, Ariidae.
GGUGAUAACAACAACCAGGAACCAGCGCUUCACGAGUGACCUGCUGCAACGCUUUGUGAUUUUCUUUUAAUUUCAUUGCCUCUGAAAAAAAGACAAUGCCUACUUUGUGUGCGGUAUAUACUUGUGGUAAUAAUGCUACUCAUGACAAAGAGAAACGAUUCUUCAGAAUUCCCAAAAUUAAAAAUGGUGACGAUACAGACAAAGAGCUGUCCAGAGAACGCCAUGUGCUGUGGUUCAAAAACAUACAUCAUAAGGACUUAACUGAGAAAAAAGCUAAUUACACCUGCGUGUGUGGUGACCACUUUAUAUCUGGAGCAGCGGCAAACCUACGUGAUAAAACAAAUCCAGAUUGGGCACCAACACUCAAAUUAGGACAUGAUAAGAUCAAGAUGAAAACUCAUCUCGCAGUAUCAAGAAGCAACAGGAUAAAUGAAAGAUCUGCCAAGAAAGCCAGAUUAGAAGCAGUGCAAACCUUAGCCAGUUUGAAUACACAAGGAGAACAAUGUGGGUCAACUUUGCCAGACCCACUUUCUAUUUGGAGAGACAGUGGCUGCUUUCCACUCUGAUGAGGAAGUAGGGCCUUCUGGGUGUUUUGGAUAGGAGACGGCUCAUCUGCUGCAUUAAAAGAGAGCUGGAAGCUUUGGCACGGCUCCAGUCCAAGCUCAGAGGGUGAGAAGGACUCAGGUGGAUCUGUAAAACUACAAUACCAACACUCAGCUGAUUUCCAGAUAAGUAUAUUCACACCACACAACCUCAUGCAUCCCCCAGGGAUUUUCGUGUGAUAUGUUAAAUGUCUCAAACUGUACAUUCAUUCUCGUAUUUAUUCCCCCAAGGUUCAUUCAACUCGAUUGCAUGGUUUUACAGAAUCGCUCUAUCAUAAGUUAUUUUUAUUAUCAGGCCUUUCCUUCUUACUGUUAAUGAACUCUUUUCUUCGUGGCUGUGCGAAACUCAUGCUGCACUCCAGCAUGCAACAUGGAGUUCUAAACUGUAACGAAAUCUUUCAACUAGUUAAUGACAACCAUUAGAUGCAAUGUGAUCUAGCCAUACAUGUUUGAACCAGAUCCUGUCUGACAAAUAUUCAGAAAGGUAAAUUCAUACCUUACGACUUCUUUGUUGUUUCUUGUAAAAGAAAAGAGAUGCAAGAAUCCUUUGGCAAACUGGUAUGUGGGUGUCUCAGUUUGACAAAAAAAAAGUAGCUGGUAUUCUGACAAAACUGUCGAAAGUGCUGUCACUGAUUAUCAUGUGGAUCCCUACCAGGGGACUACGUAGCUAUGGGGUUGGGGGCUCGGAUUUCUAAAGGUGUGAAAAAGAUAUAGAAAAGAAACAGUCAAACUCAUUGCAUGUCAUUAUCCUGACAUUGAAUCACUGCAACAUGUAAAACUGUCUCUACAUGAUUGGGGACAUUUUCCUUUUUUAAGAGAAGGUUUAAAGGAAUGACUUCAAAAACAGCUCAAAGCUGUUUUCAGAGCAGUGCUGCCUACAGAAUUGUCUGCCUAGUCACUCAACCCAAGCCCAACUGAUUUCCCUGAGAGAAUCUGGAUCGAAAGGUUUCAGGUAGGUAUGGCAAGGCAUGUCUGAAAAGUGCCUGAAAAAUUAACAUUUCAUUUCAAUGCUCCAGGGUUUCUGGUUUAAUCCUGAGCUCGGGUUACUGUCUGUGUGGAGCUUCUGUGCAUGUUCAUGUGUGCAUCCUCUGAGUUUCCUCCCACUGUCAAAAAACCAUGCCAGUAGGUGGACUGCCUAUGCUACACUGCCCCUAGGUGUGAACGAAUAUGUGAUUGCAUGGACACAGAGCCCUGUGUAAGGCUGGCAACCCAUUGAGGGUGUAUUCCCAUCUCAUACACAGAGUUCCAAGGACAGGAUCCAGAUCCAGAUGUGGAUAAACCAUUACUGAAGAUGAAUGAAUGAACAAAUGGAUGAAUUUAAUUUACAUGUUUUGAGUUAUUGUCACAAAUACCGUAUAUAUACAUACUUAUGAGAUAUUGUUUCCCUGAAAAUAAACACCGGUUA